GUCUACAUCCAUGCCACCCUGAAAGCGUCCGAUCCCAUCUGAUCUCGGAAGCUAAGCAAGGUCCAGCCUGGUUAGUACUUAGAUGGGAGACCACCUGGGAAUACCAGGUACCGUAGGCU
This 119-nucleotide ribosomal RNA is filed under the name Pteropus alecto (black flying fox). Lineage: Eukaryota; Metazoa; Chordata; Mammalia; Chiroptera; Pteropodidae. The record is from RNAcentral.